Mycena crocata is the source of this 96-nucleotide non-coding RNA. The record is from the annotation of a GenBank genome assembly. NCBI's taxonomy places the organism in Eukaryota, Fungi, Basidiomycota, Agaricomycetes, Agaricales, Mycenaceae.
GACCUGAUGGUGCAACGGUUAGCACGCUUCCUUCAAAUCUCCAAGCCUCAUGGCAAAAUUAAGGAAGAAACCCCCGUUCGACUCGGGGUCGGGUCA